RNAcentral lists this ribosomal RNA (1122 nucleotides) under Triticum aestivum (bread wheat). RNAcentral describes it as "partial small subunit ribosomal RNA". Lineage: Eukaryota; Viridiplantae; Streptophyta; Magnoliopsida; Poales; Poaceae. The record is from RNAcentral.
AUGGCGCAGACGACCGUGGUGGUGCCGGAGGUGGGCAUGACUGCGGCCGCGCCCACGGCGUGCUCCUGCCCUGGUUCGCUGUUCCCCUACCCGCCGCCGCGUGCCGGGAUGGCCGUGAGCCGCAAGUGCCUGCGGGCGGCGCAGGCGGAGCUUGGCGCCGGGAUGCUCAGUGGCCUGGUCGAGUCCAUGCGGGCGUCCUCCCCCACGCACGCCAGGGCCGCCGCCGCCCUCUCCGCCGGCGUCGACGACGAGCACGCCGCCUGGAUGGCGAGGCACCCGUCCGCCCUGGGAAAGUUCGAGGAGAUCGUGGCCGCGUCCAAGGGGAAGCAGAUCGUCAUGUUCCUGGACUACGACGGCACGCUGUCCCCCAUCGUCGAUGACCCCGACGCCGCCUUCAUGAGCGAGACGAUGCGGAUGGCAGUGCGCAGCGUGGCCAAGCACUUCCCGACGGCGAUCGUCAGCGGUCGGUGCCGCGACAAGGUGUUUGAUUUCGUGAAGCUGGCGGAGCUCUACUACGCCGGCAGCCACGGCAUGGACAUCAAGGGCCCGGCCAAAUCCUCAAAGUCCAAGGCCAAAGGAGUUCUCUUCCAACCGGCAAGCGAGUUCCUGCCCAUGAUAGAAGAGGUGCAUCAACGGCUGAUAGAGGAGACGAAGCACGUAGCCGGGGCCAAGGUGGAGAACAACAAGUUCUGCGUGUCAGUUCACUUCAGAUGCGUCGACGAAAAGAGCUGGGGCGCGCUGGCGGAGACGGUGAAGGGCGUGAUGCGGGAGUACCCCAAGCUGCGCAUGUCGCAGGGGCGGAUGGUGUUCGAGGUGCGGCCCACCAUCAAGUGGGACAAGGGCAAGGCCCUCGAGUUCCUGCUCGAGUCGCUGGGCUUCGCCGACUGCCCCAACGUGCUGCCCGUCUACAUCGGCGACGACCGCACCGACGAGGACGCCUUCAAGGUGCUGCGCCGGCGGGGCCAGGGCGUCGGGAUCCUCGUCUCCAAGCACCCCAAGGACACCAGCGCCUCCUUCUCGCUGCAGGAGCCGGCCGAGGUCAUGGAGUUCCUGCUCCGCCUCGUCGAGUGGAAGCAGCUCUCCAAGGCGCGCCUCAGGCUGCGGCGACAGGCCGACGCCUGA